GCUUCCGUGGCGCAAUCGGUUACAGUUGCGUUCGACUGUUAAUCGAAAGGUUGGUGGUUCAAGCCCACCCGGGAGCG
Molecule: non-coding RNA, 77 nt
Organism: Bolinopsis microptera
Lineage: Eukaryota; Metazoa; Ctenophora; Tentaculata; Lobata; Bolinopsidae
Source: the annotation of a RefSeq genome assembly